Molecule: long non-coding RNA, 686 nt
Organism: Hyaena hyaena (striped hyena)
Lineage: Eukaryota; Metazoa; Chordata; Mammalia; Carnivora; Hyaenidae
Exons: 3
Source: RefSeq, a predicted model, not a curated record
AUAUAAUGAAACAACAUUGUGGAGAGGAAAGCAUUAGGGGAGCCCACGGCUACGAAAACAAGUGAGUGAGAAGAGGUGGGAGGAAGAGAAACUACGCCACCUCCCCUGCAGCCGAGCCGCACGCAGCAGCCAGCGAGAAGUGGGCGACGCCGGGGGGGUGGGGUGGGGGGGCAGGGGGACGGGGUCCUCAGCCCCGGCCCGGGGGACCCCGCCGCCCACCGCGGAGAGAACAACUUUCAGCCGGCAGCCUCGGCCACCACCGCACCUGUCUCCGGAGCCUCCAUCGCUCCUCGUGACGAUCAAAGGGAAAUUCUAGAAGAAUAUGCUCUACAAAUAUACAUGCGCAUCAUUUUCCUCCUCGCGUCUGGCUCUGGAAGGGAGGAGAGAGAAAGGGAUUCUAGCGGCAGCGUGCGUUGCGCCCCAAGGGAGAAAAUCAAGACGUUACACCCCGCCCCUCCUGUUUUAAAUACUGAUUCAGCCCGAAGCUAAGCUGAAGGGCAUUUUACUAAUGCUUUUGAAGGUUAGAAGAUAUUUUACCUUCUGGAGUUUCUCUGACUCACUUGAUGAUCUCAGCUCAAGCUUCCAGUUCAGGGGAGAUGAUCGAUAACCCCCUGUGACAUCUGAGUAAGUAGGUUCUUCUGUGUGUUGUGUGUAACUGCUUUAAAAAAAAGAGAGAAAAUUUUGUA